This is a long non-coding RNA of Heterocephalus glaber (naked mole-rat), 354 nucleotides long. Lineage: Eukaryota; Metazoa; Chordata; Mammalia; Rodentia; Bathyergidae. The record is from Ensembl.
CAGAAAGAACAAGAAGACUUUCAGUACCAGGGAGCGAACUGGCAUCCUUGUGCUUGAGCAGCAGGUGGCAAAACCACUAAGCUAAAUCCCCCGCCCUCUCUUACUCUCUUAAAUGUGAGAAUGACAACAAGGAAAAAAAUCCCAAAGAAAUCACUAAAUGGAUAUCGAACUCGGGACCUUGUGCUUGCAAGGCAGGCGCUGGAACCACUGAGCUAAAUCCUAGGCUCUUAUCUUAACUCUUUACCUUUUAUCCUGUGUUUUCUAAGUUUCUAAGCUUAACUAACUACAUGGCUUAAAUUAGCUCUUAACUCAGUGCUAUUAUUUUCUUUGUAUAUAGCCAGCUCUAUCUUAGGC